ACUUUGGUGUCCCGGGAGAUUUGCUCCACCUGGAAUAGGUGGAGACCCUGAGGGUUUUAUCCCAUCACCCAGAAGAGAGAGAUCAGUGAGAUUUUCCCACCAGUGCCAAGGACUGAAACCAAACCCCAUGUGAAAACCUCAAGUAGAAGGAUGGACCACUGGAGCGUGGUGGCUAUGGUCUCUGUUCCUGCCAUGACCAGGUCGAGGAUGGAUGCCAUUAAGUUGUCAUCAUGGAAGAGGCUGUCUUUCUUGUUUUUCUCCUUGAAAAACACAAGAGGGCACAGCACAAACCAGGUGAGGCAUGGGGUUCAAGGUAAAGCCGACAUCAGCAGUCAGAUCCAGGUCUGACUUAUCCACUCCUGGAGGGGGACGAAAAACAAAUUUGCGGAGCAAGCCCCCAAAAAAGAGGAACAGCUCCAUUUUGGCCAGUCCUUCACCAAGGCAAGCCCUUCGUCCUGAAAACAACCAGGAGAGAAGUUAAUGAUCAGCACUGUAACUGUUAGUGUUGAUCUCUGAGACCUAAACUGGAGAUACAGUCUGUAAGAGCAGACUGCUGAGGCAGCUCUCCUGGUUCAAUGACACGGUUCAUUUCUUCCUGAAUCUUUCCUUGGAGGGAGGAAAGGAUUAAGAAGCUGAUAACAAUCUUACCUUGCAACUGAAAUGACUUCCAGUUUGGCAAAGAUGAAGAAAAGGGAAAACUGUGAUUAUUUGGGAAGAGCAGAAGUGGGAAGGUUUGGGAUGAUCUCCUCUUUAUGUGUGCUGAGUGGUAACUUAUGUCACACACAUGGGACAUCAUGACAACCUUUUAACCAGCAGUUUCAGUGGAGCCACGGAGUAAGUCCAGCACAGCUCACUACCUGUUUUCUGUCUCUGGAAGAAAGACUUGACACUCACCAUGAUAGGAUUCAAAAUAUUUGAUAAGGGAAUUUACUUCCUCCAGGAUUCGGAUCUCCAGGGUUCUCUUUCCCAUUCCGAAAUCCCGCAGUGUGGACAAGAUCACAAAAAUGGAUCUGUAAGAUGGUGAUACCCUCUGCUGUAAGAAGCAUGAUUUAAAAGGGCAUCCUUGAUGGUUUCAUAUCCAGCCAGUACCACGGCUUUCCUGGGUCCAAAAUGCACGGUGAAGACAUUGCCAUAUGUCUUGGAUAGCUGACAAGCCCAGAAUGUCCUUUUUUCUACAAUGAACUGGAGGAUUUCAGUGUCUGCACUGCCCUCUCACUGCAGAUGUUCAAGUGGCUGAAGGAGUGCACUGUGGACUGUCUUUCCUCCAUCAGAGUGUCCAGUAAGCACACACAGGGCGUGUGACAGGUCACUCACAGCACCUCAACUGUCUCUACAGCAACCAGAUGAUAUCUGAAUUCACACUGACUUGUCCCCACCUCCCAUGGGAACACAGCAGACACUUUCAGAAACAAACAUUGCCCCUGGCUUUAAAAUAUUUAAGGGUUUUUUUUCUUUCUUUUAAAAAUAAAAGUAUCCAUGGAACUGUGUAAGAAAAACCAAAUUUUUUAGCUAGACAUAUAAAAGCCACGUAUCAAGUCCUUAAUAACCCUGGCCAGUGUGUGUGUGCAGGGGAAUGGCUGGGGAGGCAGAGUUGUGCUUUGCAUUGCAGGGAUAUAAUUAGCUUUGGAAAUGUGUGCAUAGGACCCCCUUCCCUCUGCUGUGGGGAUGAUACCCUUUCUUCCUUCCUUCCUUCCUUCCUUCCUUCCAUCCAUCCAUCCAUCCUUCCUAGAGGUCUGGCUGCAGUGAGACAUCUCUUGAUGGCAAAUAGUACUGAUCUGUCGGCAACUGGCCCAAAUUGAGUCUUCUGCCUGCAGCCUCUGAAGGGCUUGAAACAUCAACAAUAUGGAGCUGAUUCCAAGGGAUGGGGAUCUACACUGAAGUGCAUAAAAAGAAAGGAGUGUAUGUAUUAUAUUUAUACAUAUAAAUACAUGUCUGUGUGUGCACACCUCCGAAGGUAAAGUCAUUCUGCCAGUCGGCCUAUAUGCCAAAUAUCUCAUUUCUGCCCUCUGUGCAAAGCAAACACAAUUGCAUCUCCAUUUCUCUAGUUGCAUUUCUCACUUUGGGAAUUGCACAUUUUCCCCCUCUCUCCUCAUCCAGCCCCUACCUCUGUCAGCGACUGGAACGGCUUUUUCAGGUCCACCACGUUCAAGUUUCCGAUCAGAGGAAGAGGCCGUGGCCCAGGAGGCAAACUGCAAACCGACUUCUUCGAGCUGGGGCAGAACUCAAGAACAGGACCCAAGCUGGAUUGCUGCCAUGAUGCCAGGUCACAGGGCUCAGCUGGACCACUGGUGAUGCAAUGGAGGAAGCAGGACACAGGAAAGCCCACAAUAACACAUGGCCCAGGGUGCAGCUGGCAAGUAAGCCCUCAGGAAAGACAAGACUGACCAUGGAGGAGUUGGAACGGUGGUUGCAUAAAGAUGUGCUAAUUCAGGAUUGCCAAUGGGAGUAGAUCUAUUUACAAGUGACAGCUUUGAUUCUCUUUGCUUUCCUGCCACCCCAGUGAAACCACCUCCUUGAGCAACACAGUGUUUUCAUUGCUAGCACUGUUAUUGAUCUUUGUCCCAAAAAUUCUCUCCCAGCAAUCCCAAACCGCUCCUGAAACCACUUCAGUCAUUAUUUUGCAGUUUACUGUCCAGAGGACUGGGUGUCCAUGUCUGGCUCUGUGUUUGGUGAUGACUCUUUCUGUUUAUGGGCAGAUGCUUGUAAUCCUCUAGGAGAAACCGUCCCCUCCAGGCAAUCCUUCUGCCUAGAUUGGAAAAGAGAUCCUGAACCUUUGUAAUCUGGGAGGAGCCAGGAUCAGAGUGCAGCUGGCCAGGCAGAGGAUGGAGGCUGCCUGGGCAGCUGUUGUAGAGGGGGUGCCAGGCAGGAGCAGCAGUUUUUUGGCCCUCCAGGUGCACUGAGUCAUGUACCAUGCCAGGGCAGGGGCCUGCAAGAGCCUGCGUGCCCGGGAGACAGCUCCCCAAGAGCCACCUACACCCUCUGCAUCCUGGAGGGAUGACAACAAAGCUGAAGUGAUCAUGAACAGUAGGCCUCUGUUGAAAUGUUAACUCUGGGGGAAAGAGUCAAUUUGAUGCUCUAUCACAUAUUCUCAAGUGGGGAUAUUUUGUUCCCCAGUUGCAGAUUCUGUCAGAUUACUGGGCUGGGCUGCUGUUCACCCCUUUAGAAAUCUUUAGCUUUAAUAAUACUUUUGAUAGAAUUCUCCAAGGCUCCCGGGUGCAGGCUCCACUGAUGGAAAAAUGAUGAUUAUUUAUUAAUAAUAAUAAAAGUACAUUAGCCGAAGGCAAGGGGAAUCAAUAAACUCUAACUAAAUUGACAUGAAAAAGGUGCCUGCACAUCUGCCUGCUCUCCAAGGCUUGUUAUCAGGAGUGGAGUUUUUCACAAGGGGGAACUUUCCUGUGCAGGGUGGGCAAAGAAAAGAGGGCAAUGGAUGGUCAUGUCAGUCUCAAGAUUUGCUGCAAAACUAUGAGGUCUUUUUCUGCACUCUCUUCUCCCAGACAUUUCCAAGAAUAUCAGAUUCUUCUCUGAGAAAAUGGUGUGACCACUGGGACUCCUGACACUCUGUAAUACACAGUAAGAGGGAGGAAAAAACCCUACAUGGGGCCAGUUGGGUACCAGUGGAGGAAAUCUGUUGUUUCUGUUUACAUACAGGUCUGUUGGAAUGGAGCUGGCUGCUGCCAUAGCAAGCAAGAGCACCUUCCCAAGGGCUUCCAAUCUGUUUCAAGCUUCAGGUUGUACCUGGUGACAAUAUAGGGUGAAACCCUUUCUCAAAUAGUGAGCCCAUAGACUUGCAACCCGCUGGGCUGGUGUAUGCACUGUGGGAAAUAAUGGAGGAGCUCUCCAGCGGGAGGGAAUGAUUGCAGUCUUAAAAUACAGCCAAUGUGAUGCCUUCACCUCCACUUCUUCCUCAUGUACCUUGGUUUCCAGUAUGCAAUUCCAAACACAGCCUACAACUGAGUUGCUGGCUUGCAGGUGAGGCAUCCCACACAGGACUGGGGAGAAAACGUUACUCCCUGCUCACGUGUCUUUGUCUUUCUACCAGCCCAAGCCAGAACUGAUACCAUCUUAAGGUAAGCAGACCUUGUGGGCACAGCUCAGUUCCUCCUAGAAAAUGAGCCUGUACAUUAAACAGCCACAGUAAUUUCUGUGUGCUCAUCUGGAGAAGGUCAUAUCAUCUUCUAAUGGGACACAGGUUAACAAUGCUACAGUAACUGUAGGAUAAUGCAGGGAAAGAGUUGUUAUAAGGCCAUAAUUCAGUCAAUGACUGCUGAUAACAUAAUAAACCAUGAGAGUGAACACCAAGUGCUUGUGUGCCUUGCAAGGCUCUGCCACUGAUUUACAGCCUCUGGAGAUGCCUAUCAGCCCGUGCAUUGUUAUCAGGAAUAUAUAAAGCCUGAGCACACCCUAUUAAACAUUAACAUUUUUAAAGACCCAGAUGUGUUAAAACUCGGGCUGCUCCUUGCUAAUGGAUUUUGCUUGCCCUGACAAAUGCCACUGCAAAAAGAAAUCAAAAGCUUCCCGACUUUGACCUCUUUCAAUUUUUCAUCAUUAUGGCAUUGUUUUAUUGGAUUACACCCACUUCUUCCCACCCUGCCAAUCUGUAUUUCUGCAGGAUCACUACAGGGUGGUGAUCAGUAUCUCAAGUGUUCAGUGUGCUCAUUUUCAUACAAAUAACUUGUUAGUUUCUUUUCAGUUAUCUGUCAAAUCAGUGUGGGCUGCAAAUCUACUUUGAGAAGAAAGACUCCUGGAAAAAUAUUUUUAAAAAUCGUUAUUUCACUGCAAAAAAAUUUUUAAAGACUCAUGGGGCUUUUUAUACAUAUUCUGAGCUGAAAGAAUUUAUGUGAUGGGUCUGGUCACUGGGGGAAGAAAAUAAAAAAAUCUAUGCGUGGGAUUAGUGCAUUGUCCCUGUGCAGAGCCUAAGGUGACAGUAU
This is a long non-coding RNA of Lepidothrix coronata (blue-crowned manakin), 4928 nucleotides long. RefSeq lists it as uncharacterized. NCBI's taxonomy places the organism in Eukaryota, Metazoa, Chordata, Aves, Passeriformes, Pipridae. The transcript is spliced from 10 exons. The record is from RefSeq and is a predicted model, not a curated record.